GGGUAUAGUGACACAGUAACAGAGGGAUUGAGGAACCUGCUCGGUGAGUUUACAUGUUAGAGGGAGUGGGGUAUAGUGACACAGUAACAGAGGGAUUGAAGGCCCUGCUCAGUGAGUUUACAUGUUAGAGGGAGUGGGGGAUAGUGACACAGUAACAGAGGGAUUGAGGGCCCUGCUCAGUGAGUUUACAUGUUAGAGGGAGUGGGGUAUAGUGACACAGUAACAGAGGGAUUGAGGGCCCUGCUCAGUGAGUUUACAUGUUAGAGGGAGUGGGGUAUAGUGACACAGUAACAGAGGGAUUGAGGGCAUGCUCAGUGAGUUUACAUGUUAGAGGGAGUGGGGUAUAGUGACACAGUAACAGAGGGAUUGAGGGCAUGCUCAGUGAGUUUACAUGUUAGAGGGAGUGGGGUAUAGUGACACAGUAACAGAGGGAUUGAGGGUCCUGCUCAGUGAGUUUACAUGUUAGAGGGAGUGGGGUAUAGUGACA
This 487-nucleotide long non-coding RNA is filed under the name Pelobates cultripes (western spadefoot toad). The record is from RNAcentral. Lineage: Eukaryota; Metazoa; Chordata; Amphibia; Anura; Pelobatidae.